GACGAACGCUGGCGGCGUGCUUAACACAUGCAAGUCGAACGGAAAGGCCCAGCUUGCUGGGUGCUCGAGUGGCGAACGGGUGAGUAACACGUGGGUGAUCUGCCUCUAACUUCGGGAUAAGCUUGGGAAACUGGGUCUAAUACCGGAUAGGACAAUCGUUUAGUGUCGGUUGUGGAAAGUUUUUUCGGUUAGGGAUGAGCCCGCGGCCUAUCUGCUUGUUGGUGGGGUAAUGGCCUACCAAGGCGUCGACGGGUAGCCGGCCUGAGAGGGUGGACGGCCACAUUGGGACUGAGAUACGGCCCAGACUCCUACGGGAGGCAGCAGUGGGGAAUAUUGCACAAUGGGCGCAAGCCUGAUGCAGCGACGCCGCGUGGGGGAUGACGGCCUUCGGGUUGUAAACCUCUUUCGACAGGGACGAAGCUUUGGUGACGGUACCUGUAUAAGAAGCACCGGCUAACUACGUG
RNAcentral lists this ribosomal RNA (464 nucleotides) under uncultured bacterium. Its description in RNAcentral is "partial 16S ribosomal RNA". It matches the Rfam family "Bacterial small subunit ribosomal RNA", at positions 28 to 507 of the family's 1533-position model. The record is from RNAcentral.